Molecule: ribosomal RNA, 650 nt
Filed under: uncultured Russulaceae
Lineage: Eukaryota; Fungi; Basidiomycota; Agaricomycetes; Russulales; Russulaceae
Description: eukaryotic LSU rRNA
Rfam family: 5.8S ribosomal RNA (bases 225-378)
Source: RNAcentral
GGAAGGAUCAUUAUCGUAUAAACAAAGAGGCGUUCGGGGUUGUCGCUGACCUCUAGAGUCGUGCACGCCUCUGAGCGUUCUCGUUUACACAUCCACCUCACCCCCUUGUGCAUCACCGCGUGGGCCACCCCUUUGAUUCAUUUGAAGGGUGGCUUGCGUUUUCUUUUCACACACACAAACCUGGUUACNGUGGAGGUCUUUAUUACUUUUGUAAUGAUCAGUACAACUUUCAACAACGGAUCUCUUGGCUCUCGCAUCGAUGAAGAACGCAGCGAAAUGCGAUACGUAAUGUGAAUUGCAGAAUUCAGUGAAUCAUCGAAUCUUUGAACGCACCUUGCACCCCUUGGCAUUCCGAGGGGUACACCCGUUUGAGUGUCGUGAAAUUCUCAACCUCCCCAAUUUCUUGGGGAAGGCUUGGACUUUGGAGGCUUUUGCUGGUCUCUCUUUCGAAAGCCAGCUCCUCUUAAACGAAUCAGUGGGGUCCUUCUUUGCCCGGUCCCUCGACGUUAUAAGAUUUUUUCUACGUCCGAGGUUUGGCUUGGUAGGCCCGCUUCYAAUGGUCUCGCUUUCGAGACACGUUUGAACCCCUCUGACCUCAAAUCGGGUGAGACUACCCGCUGAACUUAAGCAUAUCAAUUAAGCGGAGGAAA